This 344-nucleotide unclassified non-coding RNA is filed under the name soil metagenome. Its description in RNAcentral is "partial contains 5.8S ribosomal RNA, internal transcribed spacer 2, and large subunit ribosomal RNA". The stretch from base 1 to 120 matches the Rfam family "5.8S ribosomal RNA", at positions 35 to 154 of the family's 154-position model. The record is from RNAcentral.
GAUGAAGAACGCAGCGAAAUGCGAUAAGUAAUGUGAAUUGCAGAAUUCCGUGAAUCAUCGAAUCUUUGAACGCACAUUGCGCCCUCUGGUAUUCCGGGGGGCAUGCCUGUCCGAGCGUCAUUUCAACCCUCAAGCCCCCGGGCUUGGUGUUGGGGAUCGGCGUGCCCUCGCGGCGCGCCGUCCCCUAAAUCUAGUGGCGGUCUCGCUGUAGCUUCCUCUGCGUAGUAGCAACACUCGCACUGGAUCGCAGCGCGGCCACGCCGUUAAACCCCCCACUUCUGAAAGUUUGACCUCGGAUCAGGUAGGAAUACCCGCUGAACUUAAGCAUAUCAAUAAGCGGAGGA